UACGAAGGGGGCUAGCGUUGCUCGGAAUCACUGGGCGUAAAGCGCACGUAGGCGGAUUGCUAAGUCAGGGGUGAAAUCCUGGAGCUCAACUCCAGAACUGCCCUUGAUACUGGCGGUCUCGAGUCCGGGAGAGGUGAGUGGAACUGCGAGUGUAGAGGUGAAAUUCGUAGAUAUUCGCAAGAACACCAGUGGCGAAGGCGGCCAACUGGACCAACACUGACGCUGAGGCGCGAAAGCGUGGGGAGCAAACAGG
RNAcentral lists this ribosomal RNA (253 nucleotides) under uncultured bacterium. RNAcentral describes it as "partial 16S ribosomal RNA". It matches the Rfam family "Bacterial small subunit ribosomal RNA", at positions 524 to 776 of the family's 1533-position model. The record is from RNAcentral.